RNAcentral lists this ribosomal RNA (428 nucleotides) under uncultured Cellulomonas sp. RNAcentral's name for it is "bacterial SSU rRNA". It matches the Rfam family "Bacterial small subunit ribosomal RNA", at positions 952 to 1382 of the family's 1533-position model. The record is from RNAcentral. Lineage: Bacteria; Bacillati; Actinomycetota; Actinomycetes; Micrococcales; Cellulomonadaceae.
CGAUGCAACGCGAAGAACCUUACCAAGGCUUGACAUACACCGGUAACGCCCAGAGAUGGUGCCCCUUGUGGUCGGUGGACAGGUGGUGCAUGGUUGUCGUCAGCUCGUGUCGUGAGAUGUUGGGUUAAGUCCCCGCAACGAGCGCAACCCUCGUCCUAUGUUGCCAGCGGGUCAUGCCGGGGACUCAUGGGAGACUGCCGGGGUCAACUCGGAGGAAGUGGGGAUGACGUCAAAUCAUCAUGCCCCUUAUGUCUUGGGCUUCACGCAUGCUACAAUGGCCGGUACAAAGGGCUGCGAUACCGCGAGGUGGAGCGAAUCCCAGAAAGCCAGUCUCAGUUCGGAUUGGGGUCUGCAACUCGACCCCAUGAAGUCGGAGUCGCUAGUAAUCGCAGAUCAGCAACGCUGCGGUGAAUACGUUCCCGGGGCUU